AUCCAGCUGACGAGCCCCAUAUAGGACGAAACGCGCGUCCUCGAU
This 45-nucleotide non-coding RNA is filed under the name Schistosoma margrebowiei. Lineage: Eukaryota; Metazoa; Platyhelminthes; Trematoda; Strigeidida; Schistosomatidae. The record is from RNAcentral.